ACUGGAAUGCCGGAGAAAGCGAUUCAUCAAAAGCAAAAAUGGGAUUCAGUCGCAUCGAUAUGACAUGCAACGACGCUGAGGAUGUGUGUCAACACUGUGUCAUAAUGCCCCUCUUUGGACACGAGUUCUUAAUGGUUACCGAAUACACGAAGGAUCCUUACAAACUCCAGGUCAGUAUCCGAGAAGGAAGACAAUCCAGAGACUGGACCUUUUCUCAAGACGACCUAGCUGGAAAGUA
Molecule: long non-coding RNA, 238 nt
Filed under: Patiria miniata (bat star)
Lineage: Eukaryota; Metazoa; Echinodermata; Asteroidea; Valvatida; Asterinidae
Description: uncharacterized LOC119723172
Source: RNAcentral